This 250-nucleotide ribosomal RNA is filed under the name uncultured Bacillus sp. Its description in RNAcentral is "partial 16S ribosomal RNA". It matches the Rfam family "Bacterial small subunit ribosomal RNA", at positions 1133 to 1382 of the family's 1533-position model. The record is from RNAcentral. Lineage: Bacteria; Bacillati; Bacillota; Bacilli; Caryophanales; Bacillaceae.
GAGCACUCUAGGCGAACUGCCGUUGACAAAACGGAGGAAGGUGGGGAUGACGUCAAAUCAUCAUGCCCCUUAUGUUCUGGGCUACACACGUGCUACAAUGGCCGGUACAGACGGACGCAAAGCCGCGAGGUGGAGCAAAUCCUAAAAAGCCGGUCUCAGUUCGGAUUGCAGGCUGCAAUUCGCCUGCAUGAAGUCGGAAUCGCUAGUAAUCGCAGGUCAGCAUACUGCGGUGAAUACGUUCCCGGGCCUU